This 497-nucleotide ribosomal RNA is filed under the name uncultured bacterium. RNAcentral describes it as "partial 16S ribosomal RNA". It matches the Rfam family "Bacterial small subunit ribosomal RNA", at positions 28 to 507 of the family's 1533-position model. The record is from RNAcentral.
GACGAACGCUGGCGGCGUGCCUAAUACAUGCAAGUUGAGCGAUGAAGCUUGGUGCUUGCACCAAUUUGAAGAGCAGCGAACGGGUGAGUAACGCGUGGGGAAUCUGCCUUUGAGCGGGGGACAACAUUUGGAAACGAAUGCUAAUACCGCAUAAUAACUUUAAACAUAAGUUUUAAGUUUGAAAGAUGCAAUUGCAUCACUCAAAGAUGAUCCCGCGUUGUAUUAGCUAGUUGGUGAGGUAAAGGCUCACCAAGGCGAUGAUACAUAGCCGACCUGAGAGGGUGAUCGGCCACAUUGAGACUGAGACACGGCCCAAACUCCUACGGGAGGCAGCAGUAGGGGAUCUUCGGCAAUGGACGAAAGUCUGACCGAGCAACGCCGCGUGAGUGAAGAAUGUUUUCGGAUCGUAAAACUCUGUUGGUAGAGAAGAACGUUGGUGAGAGUGGAAAGCUCAUCAAGUGACGGUAACUACCCAGAAAGGGACGGCUAACUACGUG